RNAcentral lists this ribosomal RNA (253 nucleotides) under uncultured prokaryote. Its description in RNAcentral is "partial 16S ribosomal RNA". It matches the Rfam family "Bacterial small subunit ribosomal RNA", at positions 525 to 777 of the family's 1533-position model. The record is from RNAcentral.
ACGAAGGGUGCAAGCGUUACUCGGAAUUACUGGGCGUAAAGCGUGCGUAGGUGGUUGUUUAAGUCUGUCGUGAAAGCCCUGGGCUCAACCUGGGAAUGUCGAUGGAAACUGGACGACUAGAGUGUGGCAGAGGGUAGUGGAAUUCCUGGUGUAGCAGUGAAAUGCGUAGAGAUGCGGAGGAACACCGAUGGCGAAGGCAGCCCCCUGGGCUGACACUGACGCUGAGGCACGAAAGCGUGGGGAGCAAACAGGA